This 1439-nucleotide ribosomal RNA is filed under the name uncultured Glomeromycotina. RNAcentral's name for it is "eukaryotic LSU rRNA". The stretch from base 658 to 1439 matches the Rfam family "Eukaryotic large subunit ribosomal RNA", at positions 1 to 694 of the family's 3401-position model. The record is from RNAcentral. Lineage: Eukaryota; Fungi; Glomeromycota.
UAUUGCUCUUCAACGAGGAAUCCCUAGUAAGCGUGAGUCAUCAGCUCACGUUGAUUACGUCCCUGCCCUUUGUACACACCGCCCGUCGCUACUACCGAUUGAAUGGCUUAGUGAGACCCUCGGAUCGACGCGUGGAAACCUUCACGGGUAUCUACUUGUUGAGAAGUUGGUCAAACUUGGUCAUUUAGAGGAAGUAAAAGUCGUAACAAGGUUUCCGUAGGUGAACCUGCGGAAGGAUCAUUAAAAAAUUGAGGUAUUUUAUAUACCUCUUGUAUUUAAAACCCUACUCCUUAAAUAUAAAGUUAUUUAAAAAAAAAAAACUUUCAACAAUGGAUCUCUUGGCUCUCGCAUCGAUGAAGAACGCAGCGAAAUGCGAUAGGUAAUAUGAAUUGCAGAAUUCCGUGAAUCAUCAAAUUUUUGAACGCAAAUUGCACUUCUUGGUAUUCCGAGGAGUACACAUGCUUGAGGGUCAGUUAAAAAAAAAUAAUCGUACAUCUUUUGAUGUGGCGGAUCUGGGUUAUCUGAUCUUAUUAAUCGGUUACCUAAAAUUUAAGAUGGAUAUAUAAUGUGAAGCGUACUAAGUUAGUCGCUAAUCAUUUAUGAUACUUAUUACAUUACCUUUAAAUAUUUAGUUGGUGAUGUAUAAAUUAUAAGAAAUGACCUCAAGUCAUGUGAGAGUACCCGCUGAACUUAAGCAUAUCAAUAAGCGGAGGAAAAGAAACUAACAAGGAUUCCCCUAGUAACGGCGAGUGAAGCGGGAAGAGCACAAAUUUAAAAUCUACCUGGUUUCCAGGUCGAGUUGUAAUUUGAAGAAACGUUUUUGACGUUUCGGGUUGGGAUAAAUCCUUUGGGAUGAGGUAUCAUGGAGGGUGAGAAUCCCGUGUAUACCAACCGCAGGGAUGUUAUUUAAUACGUUUUCUAAGAGUCGAGUUGUUUGGGAAUGCAGCUCUAAAUGGGUGGUAAAUUUCACCUAAUGCUAAAUAUAAGCGAGAGACCGAUAGCGAACAAGUACCGUGAGGGAAAGAUGAAAAGAACUUUGAAAAGAGAGUUAAAUAGUACGUGAAAUUGUUGAAAGGGAAACGAUUGAAGUCAGUCAUGCCGGCGGGAAUCAACUUAGAGGAAACUUUAAGUGCACUUCACGUUUGGCAGGUCAGCGUCGAUUUUGGAUAUCAUAAAAUGAUUGGGGGAAGGUAGCUUCUUCGGAAGUGUUAUAGCCCUUGAUAGAUGUGAUGUCUGGGAUCGAGGAUUGCAACGGAUACCCUUCGGGCUAGCCGCCUGAUCUCUAACUGGUGUUGGGUUACGGACAGCAUGCUGAUCGUGAUUUAAUUACUGGUUAAAAGGUUAGAGCGAGUGUAAAUUCGUUAAGGACGCUGACGUAAUGGCUUUAAACGACCCGUCUUGAAACACGGACCAAGGAGUCUAACAUGUAUGCGAGUGUU